RNAcentral lists this transfer RNA (72 nucleotides) under Camelus dromedarius (Arabian camel). It matches the Rfam family "tRNA". From Rfam's summary of the family: Transfer RNA (tRNA) molecules are approximately 80 nucleotides in length. Their secondary structure includes four short double-helical elements and three loops (D, anti-codon, and T loops). Lineage: Eukaryota; Metazoa; Chordata; Mammalia; Artiodactyla; Camelidae. RNAcentral also lists the same sequence under 1 other name. The record is from Rfam by way of RNAcentral.
GGGGGUAUAAUUCAGUAGUAGAGUGCAAGCUUAGCAUGCACAAGGUCCUGGGUUCCAUCCCCCGUACCUCCU